GAUGUCCGAAUGGGGAAACCCGGUGCACUUCGGUGCAUCAUCGUUAGCUGAAUACAUAGGCUAACGAGGCGAACCGGGGGAACUGAAACAUCUAAGUACCCCGAGGAAAAGAAAUCAACCGAGAUUCCCCCAGUAGCGGCGAGCGAACGGGGAACAGCCCAGAGCCUGAAUCAGCUUGUGUGUCAGUGGAACGGUCUGGAAAGGCCGGCGAUACAGGGUGACAGCCCCGUACACGAAGGCACACAGGCUGUGAGCUCGAUGAGUAGGGCGGGACACGUGAUAUCCUGUCUGAAGAUGGGGGGACCAUCCUCCAAGGCUAAAUACUCCUGACUGACCGAUAGUGAACCAGUACCGUGAGGGAAAGGCGAAAAGAACCCCGGCGAGGGGAGUGAAACAGAACCUGAAACCGUGUACGUACAAGCAGUGGGAGCCUUCGUAAGAGGGUGACUGCGUACCUUUUGUAUAAUGGGUCAGCGACUUAUAUUCUGUAGCAAGGUUAACCGUAUAGGGGAGCCGAAGGGAAACCGAGUCUUAAUUGGGCGUUAAGUUGCAGGGUAUAGACCCGAAACCCGGUGAUCUAGCCAUGGGCAGGUUGAAGGUUGGGUAACACUAACUGGAGGACCGAACCGACUAAUGUUGAAAAAUUAGCGGAUGACCUGUGGCUGGGGGUGAAAGGCCAAUCAAACCGGGAGAUAGCUGGUUCUCCCCGAAAGCUAUUUAGGUAGCGCCUCGUGAACUCAUCUCCGGGGGUAGAGCACUGUUUCGGCUAGGGGGCCAUCCCGGCUUACCAACCCGAUGCAAACUGCGAAUACCGGAGAAUGUUAUCACGGGAGACACACGGCGGGUGCUAACGUCCGUCGUGAAGAGGGAAACAACCCAGACCGCCAGCUAAGGUCCCAAAGUCAUGGUUAAGUGGGAAACGAUGUGGGAAGGCCCAGACAGCCAGGAUGUUGGCUUAGAAGCAGCCAUCAUUUAAAGAAAGCGUAAUAGCUCACUGGUCGAGUCGGCCUGCGCGGAAGAUGUAACGGGGCUAAACCAUGCACCGAAGCUGCGGCAGCGACGCUUAUGCGUUGUUGGGUAGGGGAGCGUUCUGUAAGCCUGCGAAGGUGUGCUGUGAGGCAUGCUGGAGGUAUCAGAAGUGCGAAUGCUGACAUAAGUAACGAUAAAGCGGGUGAAAAGCCCGCUCGCCGGAAGACCAAGGGUUCCUGUCCAACGUUAAUCGGGGCAGGGUGAGUCGACCCCUAAGGCGAGGCCGAAAGGCGUAGUCGAUGGGAAACAGGUUAAUAUUCCUGUACUUGGUGUUACUGCGAAGGGGGGACGGAGAAGGCUAUGUCGGCCGGGCGACGGUUGUCCCGGUUUAAGCGUGUAGGCUGACUUUCCAGGCAAAUCCGGAAAGUUAAGGCUGAGGCGUGAUGACGAGGCACUACGGUGCUGAAGUGACAAAUGCCCUGCUUCCAGGAAAAGCCUCUAAGCAUCAGGUAACAUCAAAUCGUACCCCAAACCGACACAGGUGGUCAGGUAGAGAAUACCAAGGCGCUUGAGAGAACUCGGGUGAAGGAACUAGGCAAAAUGGUGCCGUAACUUCGGGAGAAGGCACGCUGACAUGUAGGUGAAGCCCCUGCGGGUGGAGCUGAAGUCAGUCGAAGAUACCAGCUGGCUGCAACUGUUUAUUAAAAACACAGCACUGUGCAAACACGAAAGUGGACGUAUACGGUGUGACGCCUGCCCGGUGCCGGAAGGUUAAUUGAUGGGGUUAUCGCAAGAGAAGCUCCUGAUCGAAGCCCCGGUAAACGGCGGCCGUAACUAUAACGGUCCUAAGGUAGCGAAAUUCCUUGUCGGGUAAGUUCCGACCUGCACGAAUGGCGUAAUGAUGGCCAGGCUGUCUCCACCCGAGACUCAGUGAAAUUGAACUCGCUGUGAAGAUGCAGUGUACCCGCGGCAAGACGGAAAGACCCCGUGAACCUUUACUACAGCUUGACACUGAACAUUGAGCCUUGAUGUGUAGGAUAGGUGGGAGGCUUUGAAGCGUGGACGCCAGUCUGCGUGGAGCCGACCUUGAAAUACCACCCUUUAAUGUUUGAUGUUCUAACCUGGCGCCGUGAUCCGGCGUGGGGACAGUGUCUGGUGGGUAGUUUGACUGGGGCGGUCUCCUCCCAAAGUGUAACGGAGGAGCACGAAGGUCAGCUAAUCCUGGUCGGACAUCAGGAGGUUAGUGCAAUGGCAUAAGCUGGCUUGACUGCGAGAGUGACGGCUCGAGCAGGUGCGAAAGCAGGUCAUAGUGAUCCGGUGGUUCUGUAUGGAAGGGCCAUCGCUCAACGGAUAAAAGGUACUCCGGGGAUAACAGGCUGAUACCGCCCAAGAGUUCAUAUCGACGGCGGUGUUUGGCACCUCGAUGUCGGCUCAUCACAUCCUGGGGCUGAAGUAGGUCCCAAGGGUAUGGCUGUUCGCCAUUUAAAGUGGUACGCGAGCUGGGUUUAGAACGUCGUGAGACAGUUCGGUCCCUAUCUGCCGUGGGCGCUGGAGAAUUGAGGGGGGCUGCUCCCAGUACGAGAGGACCGGAGUGGACGCAUCACUGGUGUUCGGGUUGUCAUGCCAAUGGCACUGCCCGGUAGCUAAAUGCGGAAGAGAUAAGUGCUGAAAGCAUCUAAGCACGAAACUUGCCCCGAGAUGAGUUCUCCCUGAGACUAUAAGUCUCCUGAAGGAACGUUGAAGACGACGACGUUGAUAGGCCGGGUGUGUAAGCGCAGCGAUGCGUUGAGCUAACCGGUACUAAUGAACCGUGAGGCUUAACCUUACAACGCCAAAGAAGU
This 2810-nucleotide ribosomal RNA is filed under the name Cronobacter sakazakii. Its description in RNAcentral is "bacterial LSU rRNA". It matches the Rfam family "Bacterial large subunit ribosomal RNA". The record is from RNAcentral. Lineage: Bacteria; Pseudomonadati; Pseudomonadota; Gammaproteobacteria; Enterobacterales; Enterobacteriaceae.